RNAcentral lists this ribosomal RNA (457 nucleotides) under uncultured bacterium. RNAcentral describes it as "bacterial SSU rRNA". It matches the Rfam family "Bacterial small subunit ribosomal RNA", at positions 917 to 1382 of the family's 1533-position model. The record is from RNAcentral.
GGGCCCGCACAAGCAGUGGAGUAUGUGGUUUAAUUCGAAGCAACGCGAAGAACCUUACCAGGUCUUGACAUCGAGUGACGACUCUAGAGAUAGAGUUUUCCUUCGGGACACGAAGACAGGUGGUGCAUGGUUGUCGUCAGCUCGUGUCGUGAGAUGUUGGGUUAAGUCCCGCAACGAGCGCAACCCUUAUCAUUAGUUGCUACGCAAGAGCACUCUAAUGAGACUGCCGUUGACAAAACGGAGGAAGGUGGGGAUGACGUCAAAUCAUCAUGCCCUUUAUGACCUGGGCUACACACGUACUACAAUGGUGGCUAACAAUGAGCAGCGAAACCGCGAGGUUGAGCCAAUCUCCAAAAGUCAUCUCAGUUCAGAUUGCAGGCUGCAACUCGCCUGCAUGAAGUCGGAAUUGCUAGUAAUCGCAGAUCAGAAUGCUGCGGUGAAUACGUUCCCGGGCCUU